Cricetulus griseus (Chinese hamster) is the source of this 520-nucleotide non-coding RNA. Lineage: Eukaryota; Metazoa; Chordata; Mammalia; Rodentia; Cricetidae. The record is from RefSeq and is a predicted model, not a curated record.
UUGGUACUUGCUGGACACACUGCUGCCAUGCCGGCUGGCUAGGUCGCUCUGAGCAACUUCUUCAUAAUUCCAACAUAGACUAAAGACAAACCAUUCUCCAGGAAUCCAUCAGGCCUUCAACACUAAACUGGGACUGCUGAGACCCACAAUCUCAUGGACUGAAGCACUGUCAAAUUCUUAGCUUUUCCAGUGUGAGAGUCACUCUGGGCCUACUCAGCGAGCAACAUGGAAAUUUUCACUGGAGAGUCUUAUUUCAUCAUCUUGCUCCGAUCUCUUCAAGAGCCACUUAUCAUUUCUUCAUGAUGAAAAUAUUUAUAAUCUAAUUUUGAAGAGCAAUUGAAGCAUAUAUUACUACAUUGUGAAAUAGUCCCUUGCUGAGCAAAAACCUCCAAGAAUUACUUAUCCUGCUGACUGAAAAUUUGUAUUCUUUAACAAAUGUAUCUCUUUCUUCGGAUAUUUAGCCUUUAGUAACCCAUCAUUCUGUGAACUACUUCAAUAAAUUUGUUUUUUGUAGCUUGCA